This 492-nucleotide ribosomal RNA is filed under the name uncultured bacterium. RNAcentral describes it as "partial 16S ribosomal RNA". It matches the Rfam family "Bacterial small subunit ribosomal RNA", at positions 29 to 507 of the family's 1533-position model. The record is from RNAcentral.
AGUGAACGCUGGCGGUAGGCUUAACACAUGCAAGUCGAACGGCAGCACAGUAAGAGCUUGCUCUUAUGGGUGGCGAGUGGCGGACGGGUGAGGAAUAUAUCGGAAUCUACUUUUUCGUGGGGGAUAACGUAGGGAAACUUACGCUAAUACCGCAUACGACCUACGGGUGAAAGCAGGGGAUCUUCGGACCUUGCGCGAAUGAAUGAGCCGAUGUUGGAUUGGCUAGUUGGCGGGGUAACGGCCAACCAAGGCGGCGAUCGGUAGCUGGUCUGAGUGGAUGGUCAGCCACACUGGAGCUGGAACACGGUCCAGACUCCUGCGGGAGGCAGCAGUGGGGAAUAUUGGGCAAUGGGCGCAAGCCUGAUCCAGCCGUACCGCGUGGGCGAAGGAGGCCUUCGGGUUGUAAAGCCCUUUUGUUGGGAGAGAAAAGCAGCAGGUUGAUACCCCGCUGUUCUGACGGUACCCAGAGAAUAAGCACCGGCUAACUUCGUG